Molecule: long non-coding RNA, 742 nt
Filed under: Ricinus communis (castor bean)
Lineage: Eukaryota; Viridiplantae; Streptophyta; Magnoliopsida; Malpighiales; Euphorbiaceae
Description: long non-coding RNA (RCOM_LNC001911)
Source: RNAcentral
UCAUAACCAGGAGCAACAUCAGUUGUCAAAGGUCCAAGAGUGUAGAAAGGUGCUUCAUUGCACCAUUCUAGCUGUUUUUGCAUGUUCUCAGGGAUUUUGUGCAGUGGAAUAUGACCAGGUCCCUCAUUCAUCACCUGAAAAAGCACAUAAUUUCUGUCACCAAGAUACUGAAAACUUUUUUCUUUUUUGCAGUCUAGCACAAUUGAAAAAUGACAAACCCACUUUCUGAACAUAUGAUAAGCUUCUGCAUCCAUCUUUCUGAUGAAUACAUACAUCUCUAAUAUAAUUGGUCCAGAAAUCUGUUUUAUCAAUAUCACCAACUAUACUUAAAACAUGGCAACACAAUUUAUAAAAUUAGCUCCAUGCUAAAUUCAGAAAAAAUGCAGUGCAAACUUAACCAUAAGAUGUGAAGGAACAACAUAAAUUCGCUAGAAUAUGUAAACUAAACUUGGAAAUUGUACUUGUGCAGAACUUUCCCACUUGUUAUAUACAGAUAUCAUGAGAUCAGUAAAUUGGUAAAGCCAUUACCUGUACAUCCUUUUCCCAUGCUCUACGGGUCAGUUCCCCUUGAGUCAAGAGCUCUGCAAAUUGAGCAGAGUCAUUGGCAUCAUAUAUGGAACCAGGUCUCAGCCCAUCACCAAUUGACAGGGCAACAUCAUAUUGAUUACAGAUGUCAAGUAUGUCAUCCCAGUGGUCAUAAGCAAAAUUCUCCUUGUGGUAAGCCAAGCACCACUUUGCAUGA